RNAcentral lists this long non-coding RNA (404 nucleotides) under Homo sapiens (human). RNAcentral's name for it is "HSALNT0323335". The record is from RNAcentral. Lineage: Eukaryota; Metazoa; Chordata; Mammalia; Primates; Hominidae.
CAAUGACUAAGCUCCAAGUACAACACACAAAACUGGUUUGAGAAUUUUGAAACACUCACAAUACAGCUUCGGUAGCAUCAGUGGAGGAAAGGCUGGACCCUGUAUUUGUGUUGUGUACCCUCACUCUAGGAGGUGUCUUCACACUAAGAGAUGGCCACUCAGCUUCUGGCAUUAUCACUCUGCAUCUACUUUGCCAAGCUUCUUCUUUUGAAACGUCUUGUGUAGGCAGUAGUUAUGAAUAUGCCACCCAGAAGAAUACCAGAUGAAUAAACUUACAAAUAUUUUGAAUAAAGCUCAAUCUAACAAUAGAUAUUUGAAUGAAAAUACUGGAAUCUCUUGUAAUAGCUCAGAAGGUAGCUUAAGUUUUAGCACAGGUGGUAGGAUCACAACACCUUGACCAGGAC